GUGACCCUGCUGGAGUGCGGGCGGGACCUCCAGCCCCCCGGGGGAUCCUUCCGCCUCCUCUGCCGAGGCUCCGGGUUCGAUUUUGGCAGUUUUGGCAUGGGCUGGUAUCGACAGAGGCCUGGACAAGGCCUGGAGUACGUUGCACGGAUCAGUGACAGUGGAGGUUACACCGAGUACGCGCCAUCGGUCAAGGGCCGGGUCUCGAUCUCCAGGGACAACGGGCAGAGCUCGGUGACGCUGACCAUGAACAACAUCAAGGACGAGGAUUCCGGAUCCUAUUUCUGUGCCAACGCUUUUUGUGCUGGUUGUUGGGCUCCUGUUAGUCAUGGUGAUGGUGCCUGUGAUGGUGUGAAGCUCCUGCCUAUGCCCGGGUCUCUGGCAGAUCCACAGCAUAGCAAAUUUUUCGAUAUCAAACCCAGAGGUGGGUCCUGCCCCUUCUUCCAGCUGGCCUAG
This is a non-coding RNA of Melozone crissalis (California towhee), 453 nucleotides long. The record is from the annotation of a RefSeq genome assembly. NCBI's taxonomy places the organism in Eukaryota, Metazoa, Chordata, Aves, Passeriformes, Passerellidae.